ACGGCUCAGUAACACGUGGCUAACCUGCCCUUGGGAUAGGAACACCCCCGGGAAACUGGGGCUAAUUCCCAAUAGGCGAAGAACUCUGGAAUGAGUCUCCACCAGAAAGGGCAUCUGCGCUAUGCUCGCAGGUGUCGCCCAAGGAUGGGGCCGCGACCGAUCAGGUUGUUGGUGAGGUAAUGGCUCACCAAGCCUUUUACCGGUGCGGGCCGUGGGAGCGGGAGCCCGGAGAUGGGCACUGAGACAAGGGCCCAGGCCCUACGGGGCGCAGCAGUCGCGAAAACUUUGCAAUAAGCGAAAGCUUGACAGGGCUAUCCCGAGUGCCAUCCGCUGAGGAAGGCUUUUACCCAGUCUAGAACGCUGGGGGAAUAAGGAGAGGGCAAGUCUGGUGUCAGCCGCCGCGGUAAUACCAGCUCUCCGAGUGGUGUGGAUGUUUAUUGGGCCUAAAGCAUCCGUAGCUGGCUAGGUUAGUCCCCUGUUAAAUCCACCGAAUUAAUCGUUGGAUUGCGGGGGAUACUGCUUGGCUAGGGGACGAGAGAGGCAGACGGUAUUUCCGGGGUAGGGGUGAAAUCCUAUAAUCCCGGGAGGACCACCAGUGGCGAAGGCUGUCUGCUAGAACGCGCCCGACGGUGAGGGAUGAAAGCUGGGGGAGCGAACCGGAUUAGAUACCCGGGUAGUCCCAGCUGUAAACGAUGCACGCUAGGUGUUUGGACGGCCACGUGCCGUUCUAGUGCCGCAGGGAAGCUGUUAAGCCUGCCGCCUGGGGAGUACGAUCGCAAGAUUGAAACUUAAAGGAAUUGGCGGGGGAGCAC
Molecule: ribosomal RNA, 812 nt
Filed under: uncultured archaeon
Lineage: Archaea
Description: bacterial SSU rRNA
Rfam family: Archaeal small subunit ribosomal RNA
Source: RNAcentral